GACGAACGCUGGCGGCGUGCUUAACACAUGCAAGUCGAACGGAAAGGCCUGCUUUCCCUUGUGUAUUGCGGGUACUCGAGUGGCGAACGGGUGAGUAACACGUGAGUGAUCUGCCCCCAACUUGGGUAUAAGCCUGGGAAACUGGGUCUAAUUCCCGAUAGGACUGCAGGGUGGUGCCUGUGGUGGAAAACGAUUUUCUAGUGGUUGGGGAUGAGCUCGCGGCCUAUCAGCUUGUUGGUGGGGUAAUGGCCUACCAAGGCGGCGACGGGUAGCCGGCCUGGGAGGGUGGACGGCCACAUUGGGACUGAGAUACGGCCCAGACUCCUACGGGAGGCAGCAGUGGGGAAUAUUGCACAAUGGGCGGAAGCCUGAUGCAGCGACGCCGCGUGGGGGAUGACGGCCUUCGGGUUGUAAACUCCUUUCGACAGCGAGGAAGCCACCUGGUUGGAAGGGUGGUGACGGUAGUGGUAGAAGAAGCACCGGCUAACUACGUG
Molecule: ribosomal RNA, 494 nt
Filed under: uncultured bacterium
Lineage: Bacteria
Description: partial 16S ribosomal RNA
Rfam family: Bacterial small subunit ribosomal RNA
Source: RNAcentral